Molecule: ribosomal RNA, 549 nt
Filed under: uncultured bacterium
Lineage: Bacteria
Description: bacterial SSU rRNA
Rfam family: Bacterial small subunit ribosomal RNA
Source: RNAcentral
UGGGGAAUUUUGGACAAUGGGCGCAAGCCUGAUCCAGCCAUGCCGCGUGUCUGAAGAAGGCCUUCGGGUUGUAAAGGACUUUUGUCAGGGAAGAAAAGGCUGUCGCUAAUACCGACAGUUGAUGACGGUACCUGAAGAAUAAGCACCGGCUAACUACGUGCCGGCAGCCGCGGUAAUACGUAGGGUGCAAGCGUUAAUCGGAAUUACUGGGCGUAAAGCGAGCGCAGACGGUUACUUAAGCAGGAUGUGAAAUCCCCGGGCUCAACCUGGGAACUGCGUUCUGAACUGGGUGACUAGAGUGUGUCAGAGGGAGGUAGAAUUCCACGUGUAGCAGUGAAAUGCGUAGAGAUGUGGAGGAAUACCGAUGGCGAAGGCAGCCUCCUGGGAUAACACUGACGUUCAUGCUCGAAAGCGUGGGUAGCAAACAGGAUUAGAUACCCUGGUAGUCCACGCCCUAAACGAUGUCAAUUAGCUGUUGGGCAACUUGAUUGCUUAGUAGCGUAGCUAACGCGUGAAAUUGACCGCCUGGGGAGUACGGUCGCAAGAUUA